Long non-coding RNA from Artibeus jamaicensis (Jamaican fruit-eating bat), 1426 nucleotides. RefSeq lists it as uncharacterized. The record is from RefSeq and is a predicted model, not a curated record. The transcript has 3 exons. NCBI's taxonomy places the organism in Eukaryota, Metazoa, Chordata, Mammalia, Chiroptera, Phyllostomidae.
GAAUGUGUGGGUGAUGGCGUGAAGCCGUGCUGCAAGCAGAGGGAACAUUGUGGAUGAAAUUCCCAACCCACGGCCUGCUCUGCUCCCCCCAAGUGAAGCCUGGUUGGCAUCGUGGAUGGGAAAGGACUCCAGGACUCCGAGGUGCAGGCCAGUGAGGAAUGGCUCCUGGGACAGUCCUUGUGUCGGACUCACGAAGGGAGGGCUCCCUGCCCUGGUCCUCCCACUGGCUUCGAAGCUGUCACUCCUAGAAGUAAGCCGAGUGAGGGCUUGUGCCGCCGGAGCCCCCGGCGCCUUCCGCAUCCAGCCCUCCGCUCGUGAGUGUGGGACAGAGAGGCACGUGUGGAAGGGCCGGAGACAGGGCCUUGCUCGUCUGCUGCCUCGCAGGGCUCCAACCGGCCAGGGAGAGAAGGACUGGACCCUGCAGGAAUGGAGUGCAGUGGUGGGAACUGGGAACUGGAUUGGCCCUGUGACCCCAUCAUCUAUAAAAGGAAUUAGAGAAAGAAUCCUUUUAAAAUGAAAGUUUAAAGCAUUAAAAAUUGCUCUGGGUUCAAAAAUCUGAGGCAAUGGCUGAGGUGCUUUCAUCAGCCACCCAAGUCACAAGAGUGCUCGCUUGCCUGAGGCUGGAUUGGGUAAGCGGAAGAGGGUCCCCGCAGUCCCAUCAGGAGAUGAGGCUGGAGGAUGGCAGUCUACCCCAGUUCACUGGGAGGAGGUAACUGGACCAGAGGAGGAGGGGCGACUGGAGCCUCAUGUUCAAACUGAACCAUCUACCGCUUUGCUCUCAACCUCUCAACCUGGGUUCAAAUCCUAGUUCUAUGGCUUGCCAGCCAUGAGACCUUAGGCAGGUUGGUUCAUUUCCUGGAACUUCAGUUUUCUCAUCUGUAAAAUGGGGAUAAUAAAGUACUUAUGUCCUGGGCUGCCAGAAGGAUCAGGGGAAUGAGGGCAUGGAAACUGACGGCGGCCGACACGUAGCAGAUGCUCGGUAAACGUCAGCUUUACUUUAGAUUCCAAGAAUCUGAAAGCACUGUGAGUUGUUCUUAGGAACCAAAUGUAAUUUACAGUCAAUAGGAAAUAAAGUGCACACUUCAAAUAAUGAGAUAAGUUCCAAGAGACAACGUUGUCAUCAGUGAGUUGGGGUUUUUCUCCUACACUGUCUUGGGAGCUUCCUUACAGAUGAGUGGUCUCCCUCUAUAAACCCCGAGAGCCACAACCUCAGAGGCUUAUUGAAGUCAGUCAGGAGAGACCUCUGCUUCUCUUCAACAGGCCAGCUGAGGAGAGUCCCUCAGAUUCAACAGCUAAAGCUCCAUUUUUUAAAAUGUCAAUAAAUUGCAAGUAAACCACACAUUUAAAAUUAUUGCCUGACAACUAGGAUUAUACUUUAAAAGGUAACAUACUGAUUGUGAUCAUUUGCAGCAAAAUCACCUUGUAC